This 292-nucleotide ribosomal RNA is filed under the name uncultured bacterium. Its description in RNAcentral is "partial 16S ribosomal RNA". It matches the Rfam family "Bacterial small subunit ribosomal RNA", at positions 505 to 796 of the family's 1533-position model. The record is from RNAcentral.
GUGCCAGCCGCCGCGGUAAGACAGAGGUGCCAAGCGUUAGGCGGAAUCACUGGGCUUAAAGCGUGUGUAGGCGGAUCGUUAAGUACCUUGUGAAAUCCCACGGCUUAACCGUGGAACGGCUGGGUAUACUGGCGAUCUUGAGCCACCUAGGGGCGAGCGGAACAAAUGGUGGAGCGGUGAAAUGCGUAGAUAUCAUUUGGAACGCCAACGGUGAAAACAGCUCGCUGGGGGUGUGCUGACGCUGAGACACGAAAGCCAGGGGAGCGAACGGGAUUAGAUACCCUCGUAGUCC